This 181-nucleotide microRNA precursor is filed under the name Oryza brachyantha (malo sina). RNAcentral's name for it is "MIR812 microRNA precursor family". It matches the Rfam family "MIR812 microRNA precursor family". Lineage: Eukaryota; Viridiplantae; Streptophyta; Magnoliopsida; Poales; Poaceae. The record is from Rfam by way of RNAcentral.
AAUAAACGAAUUUCUGUGUCUUUUUAGAAUUUUUGACUCUUCGUCUUAUUUGAAUUUUUUUACGAUUAAUAUUUUUAUUGUUACUCCAUGACAAAAUAUAAAUAGUAUUUUACACGUGACUAAUUUUUUAAUAAAUUUUUUAAAUAAGACGGAUGGUCAAAUGCUCGACUAAAAAACCCAG